This 994-nucleotide long non-coding RNA is filed under the name Pan troglodytes (chimpanzee). RNAcentral describes it as "long non-coding RNA NONPTRT014914". The record is from RNAcentral. Lineage: Eukaryota; Metazoa; Chordata; Mammalia; Primates; Hominidae.
CUGUGUCCCCAGGAGGAGACCUCACGUACGUGAUGCCCAGGGAGCCGGAGCCAGCACAGGCCAGUGGGAAAGAGCAGAUCCCUCCACAGCGGUGAGGAGAUGGUCAUGGAGGACAGGCACCCGGAAUCAGGGAAAGAGCGGAUCCAUCCACAGCGGUGAGGAGAUGGUCAUGGAGGACAGGCACCCGGAAUCACGGAAACAGCAGAUCCAUCCACAGCGGUGAGGAGAUGGUCAUGGAGGUCAUGGAGGACAGGCACCCAGAAUCAGGGAAACAGCGGAUCCAUCCACAGCGGUGAGGAGAUGGUCAUGGAGGACAAGCACCCGGAAUCAGGGAAACAGCAGAUCCAUCCACAGCGGUGAGGAGAUGGUCAUGGAGGUCAUGGAGGACAGGCACCCGGAAUCAGGGAAACAGCGGAUCCAUCCACAGCGGUGAGGAGAUGGUCAUGGAGGACAGGCACCCGGAAUCAGGGAAAGAGCGGAUCCAUCCACAGCGGUGAGGAGAUGGUCAUGGAGGACAUGGAGGACAGGCACCCAGAAUCAGGGAAACAGCGGAUCCAUCCACAGCGGUGAGGAGAUGGUCAUGGAGGACAAGCACCCGGAAUCAGGGAAAGAGCGGAUCCAUCCACAGCGGUGAGGAGAUGGUCAUGGAGGACAAGCACCCGGAAUCAGGGAAACAGCAGAUCCAUCCACAGCGGUGAGGAGAUGGUCAUGGAGGUCAUGGAGGACAGGCACCCGGAAUCAGGGAAAGAGCGGAUCCAUCCACAGCGGUGAGGAGAUGGUCAUGGAGGACAGGCACCCAGAAUCAGGGAAAGAGCGGAUCCAUCCACAGCGGUGAGAAGAUGCUCAUGGAGGACAGGCACCCAGAAUCAGGGAAAGAGCGGAUCCAUCCACAGCGGUGAGGAGAUGGUCAUGGAGGACAUGGAGGACAGGCACCCAGAAUCAGGGAAACAGCGGAUCCAUCCACAGCGGUGAGGAGAUGCUCAUGGAGGACAGG